Molecule: ribosomal RNA, 485 nt
Filed under: uncultured bacterium
Lineage: Bacteria
Description: bacterial SSU rRNA
Rfam family: Bacterial small subunit ribosomal RNA
Source: RNAcentral
GAUGAACGCUAGCGGCAGGCUUAAUACAUGCAAGUCGAGGGGCAGCACGAAUAGCAAUAUUUGGUGGCGACCGGCGCACGGGUGCGUAACACGUAUACAACCUACCUAUAACAGGGGGAUAGCCUUUCGAAAGAGAGAUUAAUACCCCGUAAUAAAUUGAGUGGCAUCACUUGAUUUUGAAAGCUACGGCGGUUAUAGAUGGGUAUGCGUCUGAUUAGCUAGUUGGUGAGGUAACGGCUCACCAAGGCGACGAUCAGUAGGGGAUCUGAGAGGACUAACCCCCACACUGGUACUGAGACACGGACCAGACUCCUACGGGAGCAGCAGUAAGGAAUGUUGGUCAAUGGAGGCAACUCUGAACCAGCCAUGCCGCGUGCAGGAUGACGGCCCUAUGGGUUGUAAACUGCUUUUGUACCAGAGAAACCUACUCACGUGUGAGUAGCUGAUAGUAUGGUAAGAAUAAGCAUCGGCUAACUUCGUGCCAG